RNAcentral lists this ribosomal RNA (185 nucleotides) under uncultured bacterium. RNAcentral's name for it is "partial 16S ribosomal RNA". It matches the Rfam family "Bacterial small subunit ribosomal RNA", at positions 1316 to 1500 of the family's 1533-position model. The record is from RNAcentral.
CUGCAUGAAGCUGGAAUCGCUAGUAAUCGCGGAUCAGAAUGCCGCGGUGAAUACGUUCCCGGGUCUUGUACACACCGCCCGUCACACCAUGGGAGUAGGUAAUGCCCGAAGUCGGUGACCUAACCGGAAGGAAGGAGCCGCCGAAGGCAGGACUUAUAACUGGGGUGAAGUCGUAACAAGGUAAC